Molecule: long non-coding RNA, 2328 nt
Organism: Pteropus alecto (black flying fox)
Lineage: Eukaryota; Metazoa; Chordata; Mammalia; Chiroptera; Pteropodidae
Exons: 2
Source: RefSeq, a predicted model, not a curated record
UUUAAGUCAGGACUUCUAUCGGGCAGUUACUUCCGCCUGCAGAGAGUGUCGAGUUCUCGCUGGUGCUCACUUCCCUGAAGUGGGCUACCACGACCCUCGGUCCCAGCCCAAGCCUUAUUUCUGCCUUGGAGGACAUUUGUUCUGUCCAGCUGCAGUGGUGUCGUUCUCAUUUCACGGAGGGGAAAACUGAAGGUGUGGUGGAUAAAGUGGUUGACCUGCUAAAGGUCUUCAGCUAGUUGUGUAGUCAGAACUCAGUACAAUCGGAACUAAUUCUGAUUCCUGUCUCUAACCUGUCCUGUCCACUUCAUGUGGUGUUAGUCUCCUUUUCUCAGUUUUUCUGCUACUGCCUUAGUUUAAGGGUGACAUUACACUAACAGUGUCAUCCAUUCAGUAUUUAUUGAGGGUGUGCUAAGUGCCAGGCAUUGUGCUGCAUGCUGGGGCACGGUAUUGAAUGGGGCAGACACAACCCUACCCUUACGGAGUUUAUAAUCUAAUAGAGAAGACAUACUAAUUACAUAACACAAAUGAGAAUAAAAUUUAAAACUGUAGUAAAUAGAAAAAAUAGGGUGCUACAAAAGAGAAUGGAGGGAACUAUAAAUUAGAUUGGGAAAUUAAGGAAAGGAAGGAAUGCUUGAUUUGAGACCUGAAAGCUGAGAAAAAUGAAGCUUUGUAACCGCCAAAGUGGAGUGAUCCAGGAGGAGGGAACAUCAAGUGCAAAGGCCCUGGGAUGGGCUAGGGCUUCCUCAGCUACUGCGUUUGGCUUCUAGAAUCCCUCCUUAUUAUGGACUAAUGACUUCUGUCAUCCAGUGAAGAUUAAUGAAACCAGUGCUUCAUAACCACCUCCUCCAUCCUGACCCUUUGGGGUGUGCCAAGGGACAGCUGCAAAACCAGUGAGUAAUAAUUCCUUGGAAACAUGCUGUAUCCAGCACUUUUAUGUGAUAAUCGGAUUUUUAUUUUGAAAUCCUGUGUGCAAAAUGAAAACCCAAAUGAGCAUCUGCUACAUAUGAUUAGAGGCAGUGUGGUUCUGGGGAAAGAGGACUGGUCUCAGGGUCACCCUGGACCUGUGACUAACAGGCUAUAAGACCUUGGACAAGGUGCUCAGUGCCUCUGGGCCCCAGUUUUCUCAUAAGUAAAACAAAAACAUUAGACUCUAAGCUUCUUCCUAAGGUAAUGUGAAUGCUUAAAAAAUGGCUGGUCACAUCUGCAAUCAAACCACAUUAAGUACCUUUCAAGUGAUCAUAUGCUUGAAUCUGGCCUAUUUUCAUUGUUUAGUUUUUCUAACACCUUUCACUUAACCCUUGCAUCGCUAGUGCCUUCCUCAUUUGCAAGGUCUUUACUGUUUUUUGGCUGCUGCUUCAGAUUCCACUAAGUCAUGUUAGAUUUCAGCCAUUGAAUCACCUACUUUUUUUUGCCCUGCGUGGAGUCUUUUUAACCCCCAGCAGUCUCUUUUCCUUGACAAAACACAGAAGUCUUAGUCUCCCUCCCCUUCCAUCCCUCCCACUCUUCUUCCCUGCAAAGACAAACCUGAAAAAUCAGGGGGUUCUAUUCUGGUAGUUAUCACUCUCACCACUAGAUGGCACAUGUGUGCAAGUCAUCAGUCUUUGCACAAAAACUUUAAUUUUAUUAUGCUUUUGUACUCCAGUCCACAAAAGCUUUCAGAUGAGUGAUAAAAGCACAAAUAUACAAAAGGAUAAAAUGGAAAGUUGAGAUAGUUGGAGAAAAUAGAGAACAAGUGGAAAAAAUAACUCCAGGAUGACGUUAGAUCAAGCAGAUGGAUGCGAGCACACGGUUGGUUCUGAGCUUCUAAACAGCCAGAGGAAAGAGGGAAACAUGAAUGGCAAUAAAAUUCCAGGUUUUAUAGGAGGAAAACAAAGUCAUUAUUCAGGAGAAACACAACUUUUCCUGAUCCUGAGACCAGAGAGAUGUUUUUCCUGUGGGUCUUCAGAGAGGACACUGACUGAGCAGUGAAACAAACACCAGUGACUUAAUUGGAGCUGUUUCUAUGAAGUCCUUCGAUGCAGGCCUGUGGCAUGAUGCUAAACUGCAACCGAGGAAAAGUGGGUUUAUGGGGCUCAAACACUGGGGUUCCAGGACAGUAAAUUCACUACCGCGUGCCUUUGUAUACAGUCGUCCCUGCUUAUCUGUGGAGGAUAUGUUCCAAGACCGCCAGUGGAUGCCUGACACUGCAGAUAGUACCAAACCCUAUAUAGACCAUGUUUCUCCCUAUACCUGCAUAACUGUGAUAAAGUUUAAUUUAUAAAUUAGGCACUGCAAGAGAUCAGCAACAAUAAUAAAGUGGAACAAUUAUAACAAUAUACUGUAAUAAAA